UGCGGAAGGAUCAUUAUCGAGUUUUGACUGGGUUGUAGCUGGCCUUCCGAGGCAUGUGCACGCCCUGCUCAUCCACUCUACACCUGUGCACUUACUGUGGGUUUCAGACGGCGUAGCGAGCCUUUACGGGUUCGCGAAAGCGUCUGUGCCCGCGUUUAUUACAAACUCUUACAAGUAAAAGAAUGUGUAUUGCGAUAUAACGCAUCUAUAUACAACUUUCAGCAACGGAUCUCUUGGCUCUCGCAUCGAUGAAGAACGCAGCGAAAUGCGAUAAGUAAUGUGAAUUGCAGAAUUCAGUGAAUCAUCGAAUCUUUGAACGCACCUUGCGCUCCUUGGUAUUCCGAGGAGCAUGCCUGUUUGAGUGUCAUGAAAUCUUCAACCUAUCAACCUUUGCGGGUUUGUAGGCUUGGACUUGGAGGCUUGUCGGCCUAACGGUCGGCUCCUCUUAAAUGCAUUAGCUUGAUUCCUUGCGGAUCGGCUCUCGGUGUGAUAAUUGUCUACGCCGCGACCGUGAAGCGUUUGGCGAGCUUCUAAUCGUCUCUUAUGAGACAACACANUGACCU
This 563-nucleotide ribosomal RNA is filed under the name fungal sp. 1f10. RNAcentral's name for it is "eukaryotic LSU rRNA". The stretch from base 214 to 367 matches the Rfam family "5.8S ribosomal RNA". The record is from RNAcentral. Lineage: Eukaryota; Fungi.